Molecule: ribosomal RNA, 386 nt
Filed under: uncultured bacterium
Lineage: Bacteria
Description: partial 16S ribosomal RNA
Rfam family: Bacterial small subunit ribosomal RNA
Source: RNAcentral
UACGAGGGGGGCGAGCGUUGUUCGGAAUUAUUGGGCGUAAAGGGUGCGUAGGCGGUUUGGUAAGUCUURUGUGAAAUCUACAGGGCUCAACUCUGUAGWCUGCAYGAGAAACUGCCGGGCUUGAGURUGGGAGAGGUGAGUGGAAUUYCCGGUGUAGCGGUGAAAUGCGUAGAUAUCGGRAGGAACACCUGUGGCGAAAGCGGCUCACUGGACCAYAACUGACGCUGAUGCACGAAAGCUAGGGGAGCAAACAGGAUUAGAUACCCUGGUAGUCCUAGCCCUAAACGAUGACUGCUUGGUGUGACGGGUACCCAAUCCCGCCGUGCCGUAGCUAACGCGUUAAGCRGUCCGCCUGGGGAGUACGGUCGCAAGGCUGAAACUCAAAG